GCCAUUUCUUGGGCCGCUCCCAUGGCAUAUGGAGGUUCCCAGGCUAGGGGUCUCAUCGGAGCUGUACCCUCCGGUCUCCGCCAGAACCACAGCAACGCUGGAUCCGAGCCACGUCUGCAACGUACACCACAGCUCACAGCAACGCCGGAUCCCUAACCCACUGAGCAAGGCCAGGGAUCGAACCCACAACCUCAUCGUUCCUAGUUGGAUUCGUUAACCACUGAGCCACGACGGGAACUCCAAAAACUUUUUUAAUGAAACAAUUUGAGAGACUUCCCAUCCAACCAAGAUAGACUGAGAGGGGUUAGAUGUACCCUCUUUUUCAAAACAGCAACAACCAAACUCUGGAAAAAUAUACAAAAUAAUGAUUUUUAAGACAUAGGACAUCAGGCAAUGUAGAACAGUGAUCUCCGAGAGAUAAGAAACCAAGGAGGUGAAUCAUGAUUGCCUGCUUACUGUCUUAAGGGUUUCUUGGCAGUGGCACAGGGCAGAUAACUCAAGGAACACAAAUUCCCCAAGUUGCAGAAGCAGAACUGAAGGCAUGGGAGAACAAGGUGGUUACAGUUCACAAGUCAGAGCAUGUGAACAGGGCUGCUGCACAGAUAAAGGUCUCCUGAGAUCUGCAGAGAGUCCCACUCAGGAAUUUAGCAGAGUACUGAUCUUGGCCAAUGUGUGAGGAAACUUUCCAAGGCUGGGUAUUCCUUAUGGAAUAAAAGGAGCUAACCAAUGAUCAAUACCUGCUAACAUCUCAGAUAGAGAGAGAACCAGUAGUCCUGCCCAGCCUUCUCCAAAUGAAUCUAGCAAGUUCAGAGUCUUAAUCACCAGUGAAUAGGAAAGACAUGGUACAGAGGAGCUUCUUAAACAACUCUACAGGAAUGCAUGAGCAAAUACAAACUAUGGAAAGCUCUACCAGCACAAUCCAGUUUUUUCCACAAAUAAGGAAAAAUAAACAGAGGUGAAACAUAGAUUAAAAGAGAAGAGAAAUAUCAAUGAAUUGCAAUGUAUGAAUCAUAUGUAUUCUAUUUCAAAAGAGUAAAAAAAUUAUAAAAAAUUUUGAGACAAUUGAGAAAACUUGAAUACUGAUUGUACAUAUUUGAUAACGAUAAAGAAAUACUGACUUUCUAGGUAUGGUUUGGUUUAUUUUUUCAGAUGUGGUUCAUUUCUUCAAUUAAAAAAGUCCUAUGCUCAACACUGCUAAUUAUUAGGGAAAUGCAAAUCGAAAUGACAAUGAGGUAUCAUGCCAAACCAGUCAGAAUGGCCAUCAUUAAUAAGUCUAAAUAAUAAAUUCUGGAGAGGGUAUGGAGAAAAAGGAACUUACUACACUGUUGAUGGGAAUGUAAAUUGGUGCAGUUACUAUGGAGAACAGUACAGAUAUUCCUUUAAAAACUAAAAGUAGAGUUACCAUACAAUUCAGCAUUUCCACUCCUGGGUAUAUAUUCCAAGAAAAUUAUAAUUCCAAAAGACACAUGCACCCAAAUGUUCACAGCAGCACUACUUAACGAUAUCCAAGACACGGAAGCAACCUAUAUGUCCAUCGACAGAUGAAUGGAUGCAGAUGUGGCACAUAUAUCCACAAUAGAAUAUUACUUAGCCAUAAAAAAGAAUGAAAUAAUUCCAUUUGCAGCAACAUGGACAAACCUAGAGAUUACCCCACUAAGUGAAAUAAGCCAGACAGAGAAGGACAAAUAUCAUGAUAUUGCUUAUAUGUAGAAUCUGAAAAAAUAUGAUACAAAUGGAUUUAUUUACAAAAUACAAAUGAACUCACAGACAUAGUAAACAAACUUAUGGUUACCAAAGGAGAAAGUGGUAGGGAGGGAUAAAUUACUAAUUUGGGAUUAAGAUACACAUACUGCAAUGUAUUAAGUAGAUAACCAACAAGACCCUACUUUACAACACAUGGAGCUCUACUCAACAUCUUAUACUAACCCAUAAUAAAAAGAAUCUGAAAACAUAUAUACAUGUAUAAACAUAUAUAUACAUAUAUGCACACACACAUAUAUAUAACUGAAUCGCUUUGCUGUAAGUAUAAUUGCAUACAAGUUCCUAUCACUCUCUACUUUUAAAUAUGUUCAGAAUUUUCAGGUAACAAACCCAUAAGUAAAAGUAAAAAUACAUAAGUAAACACAUAAGUGAUUUAAAGACUCAGAGGCCACAGUCUAUGUUUCUGCAUUAAAACAAUUUCUCAGACACAGAGAUAUCAGAGAUAAUAUUUUAUGAGGAUAUUGAAGGCUGAUUUGCAGAAUUUCCUUAAUGGAGGACUACACAAAACACUAGCUUUUAAGCAAGGAUGGAUUUCUCUCUGAAAAAUCUGACAGUAUACAAGUACUUGACUACCUAAUCUAAGUCAGCUAAAGACAUCAAAGAAGACCAAAAAAGUGGGUCUAUAAAUAUGGUUGUGACUUAUUCCUGUUCUUUUAAUAAGGUGAGGUGUAUGAGAAGUCUCACAGAGCAUAUGACUGCUAUCCUUCCAAUAGCAUUCUUGCAACACAGCUCAUCCCAUUCAAUUUCGCCAUUCCCACGUUUACUGUUUAACAUCUCCACUUUCUGCUCACACUUUUAAGCUUUUAGGUUUUGAGGUGAGGGGAAAGAAACCUUUGGAGAUGUGCAAAAUUCUUUCUCAAGUCCAAUAAUACAUUAGGAAGUAUGUAAGUAUGUCUUAUCUGGAAACUCUUUUUUCUUUUGCUCUUUUUUCUUUCCUUUUUUUUUUUUUUUUUUUUUUGGCAGUCAGAGGGAUACUCUGAGUAGCUUGUCCAAGGUUCAGAUUAAAGAAAUCUCUUCUCUCUUCUUACCUUAUCUAAAUCCUGCCCUCCAUUUCCUGGAUAAGAAAUCAGUUGACUUACUGAUUUUUAAAAUAUUAAUUUCAAAUUUUCAGUAUUUUAGAUAAUUAUUUUGUCUACAACAUUACUGUACUAGCACUACUAUUAAAAUAUCAUGCAUCCUAAUGCUCAUUUUCACUAAAUAUCUGAAAAGGCUAUAGGAGCAUGUUUAAAACCUGAUGUGUGCUUUGGGAUCGACUUUGGGGAAUCAAGGCCAGCGUGUGCAUUUGUAUAAGCUGGUCACAUUUUAGGAAGUAUUUGCAAG
RNAcentral lists this long non-coding RNA (3081 nucleotides) under Sus scrofa (pig). RNAcentral's name for it is "lncRNA (ENSSSCG00025012149.1)". The record is from RNAcentral. Lineage: Eukaryota; Metazoa; Chordata; Mammalia; Artiodactyla; Suidae.